GAUGAACGCUGGCGGCGUGCCUAAUACAUGCAAGUCGAGCGAACGGACGAGAAGCUUGCUUCUCUGGUGUUAGCGGCGGACGGGUGAGUAACACGUGGAUAACCUACCUAUAAGACUGGGAUAACUUCGGGAAACCGGAGCUAAUACCGGAUAAUAUUUUGGACCGCAUGGUUCAAAAGUGAAAGACGGUCUUGCUGUCACUUAUAGAUGGAUCCGCGCUGCAUUAGCUAGUUGGUAAGGUAACGGCUUACCAAGGCAACGAUGCAUAGCCGACCUGAGAGGGUGAUCGGCCACACUGGAACUGAGACACGGUCCAGACUCCUACGGGAGGCAGCAGUAGGGAAUCUUCCGCAAUGGGCGAAAGCCUGACGGAGCAACGCCGCGUGAGUGCUGAAGGUCUUCGGAUCGUAAAACUCUGUUAUUAGGGAAGAACAUAUGUGUAAGUAACUGUGCACAUCUUGACGGUACCUAAUCAGAAAGCCACGGCUAACUACGUG
This 497-nucleotide ribosomal RNA is filed under the name uncultured bacterium. Its description in RNAcentral is "partial 16S ribosomal RNA". It matches the Rfam family "Bacterial small subunit ribosomal RNA", at positions 28 to 507 of the family's 1533-position model. The record is from RNAcentral.